This 77-nucleotide transfer RNA is filed under the name Mycobacterium tuberculosis. Its description in RNAcentral is "tRNA-Ile(gat)". It matches the Rfam family "tRNA". From Rfam's summary of the family: Transfer RNA (tRNA) molecules are approximately 80 nucleotides in length. Their secondary structure includes four short double-helical elements and three loops (D, anti-codon, and T loops). Lineage: Bacteria; Bacillati; Actinomycetota; Actinomycetes; Mycobacteriales; Mycobacteriaceae. The record is from RNAcentral. RNAcentral also lists the same sequence under 33 other names.
GGGCCUAUAGCUCAGUCGGUUAGAGCGCAUCCCUGAUAAGGAUGAGGCCGGUGGUUCAAGUCCACCUAGGCCCACCA